CAAGAUGGCCGUUCCCAGGACACGUGGGCGAGAAGGACGGGAGAGAUGGGGAGAGAGACGUUUGCAGCAGGAACGAAACAGAGACCGCAGAGCCUUAGCUGCUGGGGAAGCAAGAACCAGAGCUCCCUCUUCUGGGCAAACGAAAUUCUGAACAGCUUGGGGCCGCUUCCGGAAAAAGGGCAGCCCCCACCAGUGAGGAGGAGUCCUGUCUUCACCUGGUGACUCAUCUCGGCUCUGGAUCGACAGAAAGGAAAGAGGAGCUUCCCUGGUGGCUGAAAUGGUAAAGAAACUGCCGGCAAUGCAGGAGAUCUGGGUUCAAUCCCUUGGUUGGGACGAUCCCCUGGAGGAAGGAAUUGCAACCCACUCCAGUAUUCUUGCCUAGAGAAGCCCAUGGACAGAGGAUCCUGCCAAAAGCCGCCUGGAGGAGCAUCUUUCCUUGUCCUGCCAGCCGGACGGCUCAAUGCUCCUGGCCCAGCGAUUGAGUGGGUGUGUGAGAUUGGGGACCCAUCUCCCCGACUCCUCAAGUGGCUAUUGAUGCCCUCUCAGCUGUGAAGACAACCCGAGGCCAGGACCAAACCAGAAUCCUACAAGUAAGAUCCUAAUAAUGAACAAGGCCAGUGGGAGAAGAGAUUUAUAAUGGUAAAAGAUUGUUCUGUGCAGAGUGUAGUGGGUGAGGGAAGAUUUCAUAGCACAAAGAAAUCACUUCUCCUUUUCAGGGAUGAAUCCGGACCCUAAGUUGAAAAUGUAGUUGAACUCGAUGACAAGGUUUUAAAACAGACCCAACUCAAACACUUCUCCAAAUAGUUCUGCUCAAUGUAAUUUUGAACAAGGUAUUUGAACGGCAUAUUAAAAAUGCUUCAGAGCUAAGGGUUUAUUUCUUUUUCCCUCUGUAAAUUA
Molecule: long non-coding RNA, 897 nt
Organism: Dama dama (fallow deer)
Lineage: Eukaryota; Metazoa; Chordata; Mammalia; Artiodactyla; Cervidae
Exons: 4
Source: RefSeq, a predicted model, not a curated record